UUCGAUAAUUACACUUUUGGAUAACCAUAACAUCUUAUGUUUGCUAAGAUCCUGGGCGAUUCGAAGGUUUAGGCGAGAACAGGGUCAUAACUUUGGGCGACUCCAAGGCACUUCAUUCGCUCAGAUCUUGGGCGUCUUGCAAGUUUGGACGAUAGUGUUACCGCGUUCGUGGGCUUCCACUGCAUUCAUUGAUAACCCUAUUCGGGCAUUUAUCCUGAAUUGCCCAGUUGGGCUUCAUUAUUUAGGCUAUUCGAUUUGGGCUGCACUUUUAGCGUGUCAAUAAUUACCCCCAAUAUGGCAAAAUUAAUAUCAAUUAUUA
This 319-nucleotide long non-coding RNA is filed under the name Olea europaea (common olive). RNAcentral's name for it is "long non-coding RNA (OEUR_LNC015560)". Lineage: Eukaryota; Viridiplantae; Streptophyta; Magnoliopsida; Lamiales; Oleaceae. The record is from RNAcentral.